This 566-nucleotide ribosomal RNA is filed under the name uncultured Dechloromonas sp. Its description in RNAcentral is "bacterial SSU rRNA". It matches the Rfam family "Bacterial small subunit ribosomal RNA", at positions 43 to 604 of the family's 1533-position model. Lineage: Bacteria; Pseudomonadati; Pseudomonadota; Betaproteobacteria; Rhodocyclales; Azonexaceae. The record is from RNAcentral.
CAUGCCUUACACAUGCAAGUCGAACGGCAGCACGGGAGCAAUCCUGGUGGCGAGUGGCGAACGGGUGAGUAAUGUAUCGGAACGUACCAUUCAGUGGGGGAUAACGUAGCGAAAGUUACGCUAAUACCGCAUAUUCUGUGCGCAGGAAAGCAGGGGAUCGCAAGACCUUGCGCUGAUUGAGCGGCCGAUAUCAGAUUAGCUAGUUGGUGAGGUAAAGGCUCACCAAGGCGACGAUCUGUAGCGGGUCUGAGAGGAUGAUCCGCCACACUGGAACUGAGACAGGGUCCAGACUCCUACGGGAGGCAGCAGUGGGGAAUUUUGGACAAUGGGGGCAACCCUGAUCCAGCCAUGCCGCGUGAGUGAAGAAGGCCUUCGGGUUGUAAAGCUCUUUCGGCCGGGAAGAAAUCGUAUGGGUUAAUACCCUGUGCGGAUGACGGUACCGGCAUAAGAAGCACCGGCUAACUACGUGCCAGCAGCCGCGGUAAUACGUAGGGUGCGAGCGUUAAUCGGAAUUACUGGGCGUAAAGCGUGCGCAGGCGGUUUUGUAAGACAGGCGUGAAAUCCCC